CGGGGUGGAUCAGUGGCGAACGGGUGAGUAACACGUGAGCAAUCUGCCCUUGACUCUGGGAUAACUUCGGGAAACCGGAGCUAAUACCGGAUAUGACAUACGGCCGCAUGGUCUGUGUGUGGAAAGAUUUAUCGGUCAGGGAUGAGCUCGCGGCCUAUCAGCUUGUUGGUGGGGUAAUGGCCUACCAAGGCGACGACGGGUAGCCGGCCUGAGAGGGCGACCGGUCACACUGGGACUGAGACACGGCCCAGACUCCUACGGGAGGCAGCAGUGGGGAAUAUUGCGCAAUGGGCGAAAGCCUGACGCAGCGACGCCGCGUGAGGGAUGAAGGCCUUCGGGUCGUAAACCUCUUUCAGCAGGGAAGAAGCGAAAGUGACGGUACCUGCAGAAGAAGCACCGGCUAACUACGUGCCAGCAGCCGCGGUAAUACGUAGGGUGCAAGCGUUGUCCGGAAUUAUUGGGCGUAAAGAGCUCGUAGGCGGUCUGUCGCGUCUGCUGUGAAAACUCAGGGCUUAACCCUGAGCUUGCAGUGGGUACGGGCAGACUAGAGUGCGGUAGGGGAGACUGGAAUUCCUGGUGUAGCGGUGAAAUGCGCAGAUAUCAGGAGGAACACCGGUGGCGAAGGCGGGUCUCUGGGCCGUAACUGACGCUGAGGAGCGAAAGCAUGGGGAGCGAACAGGAUUAGAUACCCUGGUAGUCCAUGCCGUAAACGUUGGGCGCUAGGUGUGGGGCUCAUUCCACGAGUUCCGUGCCGCAGCUAACGCAUUAAGCGCCCUGCCUGGGGAGUACGGCCGCAAGGCUAAAACUCAAAGGAAUUGACGGGGGCCCGCACAAGCGGCGGAGCAUGCGGAUUAAUUCGAUGCAACGCGAAGAACCUUACCAAGGCUUGACAUGGGGUGAAAACUCGCAGAGAUGCGGGGUCCGCAAGGGCGCCUCACAGGUGGUGCAUGGUUGUCGUCAGCUCGUGUCGUGAGAUGUUGGGUUAAGUCCCGCAACGAGCGCAACCCUCGUUCUAUGUUGCCAGCACGUUAUGGUGGGGACUCAUAGGAGACUGCCGGGGUCAACUCGGAGGAAGGUGGGGACGACGUCAAAUCAUCAUGCCCCUCAUGUCUUGGGCUUCACGCAUGCUACAAUGGCCAGUACAAAGGGCUGCGAGACCGUAAGGUGAGCGAAUCCCAAAAAGCUGGUCUCAGUUCGGAUCGGGGUCUGCAACUCGACCCCGUGAAGUCGGAGUCGCUAGUAAUCGCAGAUCAGCAACGCUGCGGUGAAUACGUUCCCGGGCCUUGUACG
Molecule: ribosomal RNA, 1290 nt
Filed under: metagenome
Description: bacterial SSU rRNA
Rfam family: Bacterial small subunit ribosomal RNA
Source: RNAcentral